GACGAACGCUGGCGGCGUGCCUAAUACAUGCAAGUCGAACGCUUCUUUCCUCCCGAGUGCUUGCACUCAAUUGGAAAGAGGAGUGGCGGACGGGUGAGUAACACGUGGGUAACCUACCCAUCAGAGGGGGAUAACACUUGGAAACAGGUGCUAAUACCGCAUAACAGUUUAUGCCGCAUGGCAUAAGAGUGAAAGGCGCUUUCGGGUGUCGCUGAUGGAUGGACCCGCGGUGCAUUAGCUAGUUGGUGAGGUAACGGCUCACCAAGGCCACGAUGCAUAGCCGACCUGAGGGGGUGAUCGGCCACACGGGGACUGAGACACGGCCCAGACUCCUACGGGAGGCAGCAGUAGGGAAUCUUCGGAAAUGGACGAAAGUCUGACCGAGCAACGCCGCGGGAGUGAAGAAGGUUUUCGGAUCGUAAAACUCUGUUGUUAGAGAAGAACAAGGACGUUAGUAACUGAACGUCCCCUGGCGGUAUCUAACCAGAAAGCCACGGCUAACUACGUG
RNAcentral lists this ribosomal RNA (508 nucleotides) under uncultured bacterium. RNAcentral's name for it is "partial 16S ribosomal RNA". It matches the Rfam family "Bacterial small subunit ribosomal RNA", at positions 28 to 507 of the family's 1533-position model. The record is from RNAcentral.